AAGUCUGUGCAGGUGAAGGUGUGUGAGAGCGCCCGAGAUGGCAGAACAAGAGCUACAGAGUCCACUCUUGUUGCCCAGGCUGCAGUGCAAUGGCGUGAUCUCGGCUCACUGCAACCUCCACCUUCUGGUUUCAAGCAAUUCUCCUGCCUUAGCCUCCCGAGUAACUGGGAUUACAGGCGUCCAUCACCACGCACCACUCAUUUUUUUUUUGUAUUUUUAGUAGAGACGGGGUUUCACCAUAUUGGCCAGGCUGGUCUCAAACUCCUGACCUCAUGAUCCACGUGCCUCGGCCUCCCAAAGUGCUGGGAUUAUAGGCGUGAGCCACUGUGCUCCGCCUAAGUAAGCAUUUUUAAAAUGAAACAAUGGUAUGUUUGUUGUCUGUUGCUGUGUAACAAACUAUCCCAAAAUUUAGCAGCUUAAAACACAAACACUGAACAUACCACAUAGUUUCUAAGAGUCAGCAAUCCAGGAGCAGCUCAGCCAGGGUUCAAGGUCUCUCAUGAACUUAUGGUCAAGCUACCAGCAGGGGCUGUGGUCAUCUGAAGGUCAGAGGAUCGCAUGGUUGUUCCACAGACUGUUGGGCACGCUUUAAUUAUAGGCCUUGUGAAGCUCUCCACAUCGAUGUCUGAAUAUCCUCACGACAUACAAAAGCUGGUUUCCCCUAAAGCAAGUGACAGAGAGAAAGAGAGAGACAGAAACAGAAGUCACAGCAUCUUUCAUAACCUGAUUUUGGAAGUGAAAAACUAUUCUUUCUGCUGUUUCCUAUUGUUCAUAUAGACCAAUCUUGGUGCAGUGUAAGAAAAAAAUGUACGAGAGACACAGAAUCUUCAGGGGCUGUCUUAAAGACUGCCUACCCAAUAUGGGUAGUUUCCAAAGCUUAAAAAAAAAACUUGUUUUAAAUACACCUUAUUCAAACAAGAUGCUUAUAAAAAUAAAAUAGGUGUGAGGAUAUUGUGUAAUAUGUAGCUAAGUAUGCAUCCUGUUAGAACGUCAAAUCAGUCUUAACAGGAGAGCUUAAAGUGUUUCAUAGGUCUUUUAUUUUGGAUUUUUUUUCCUUUUUUUAAUCUUUUCCUUUUAUUUUUAUUAGUGCAUGCUACUUCGAACAAGAUAUUUGGUAUGCUUUAAUGAUUAUAUGUUUCCAUAAUAAAUGCAAUCCUUUCUUGUU
RNAcentral lists this long non-coding RNA (1165 nucleotides) under Homo sapiens (human). RNAcentral describes it as "GRHL2 divergent transcript, transcript variant 4 (GRHL2-DT)". The record is from RNAcentral. Lineage: Eukaryota; Metazoa; Chordata; Mammalia; Primates; Hominidae.